This 468-nucleotide ribosomal RNA is filed under the name uncultured bacterium. RNAcentral describes it as "partial 16S ribosomal RNA". It matches the Rfam family "Bacterial small subunit ribosomal RNA", at positions 28 to 507 of the family's 1533-position model. The record is from RNAcentral.
GACGAACGCUGGCGGCGUGCUUAACACAUGCAAGUCGAACGGAAAGGCCCUGCUUUUGUGGGGUGCUCGAGUGGCGAACGGGUGAGUAACACGUGAGUAACCUGUCCUUGACUUUGGGAUAACUUCAGGAAACUGGGGCUAAUACCGGAUAGGAGCUCCUGCUGCAUGGUGGGGGUUGGAAAGUUUCGGCGGUUGGGGAUGGACUCGCGGCUUAUCAGCUUGUUGGUGGGGUAGUUGCUUACCAAGGCUUUGACGGGUAGCCGGCCUGAGAGGGUGAACGGCCACAUGGGGACUGAGAUACGGCCCAGACUCCUACGGGAGGCAGCAGGGGGGAAUAUUGCACAAUGGGCGGAAGCCUGAUGCAGAAACGCCGCGUGCGGGAUGACGGCCUUCAGGUUGUAAACCGCUUUCGACUGUGACGAAGCGUGAGUGACGGUAAUGGGUAAAGAAGCACCGGCUAACUACGUG